UUAUUCAUGCCAUAUGACCACAGAAAUACUACCCCAGAUGGAGCUUCUUCAUCUAAAAUGAAAGCAUUGGUGAAUGAUUUGAAUUAUCGGCACUUCCAAGGUCACUGCAUGACUGGUUCUGGGGGAGGCUCCGUUGGGUAUCUAGCACACGGUACUGCAACAGACUACAUUUAUGAGAUUGCAAAAGUUCCCAUGGCUUUCACUUUUGAGAUUUAUGGAGAUGAAUCCGCUUCAG
Spinacia oleracea (spinach) is the source of this 235-nucleotide long non-coding RNA. RefSeq lists it as uncharacterized. The record is from RefSeq and is a predicted model, not a curated record. Lineage: Eukaryota; Viridiplantae; Streptophyta; Magnoliopsida; Caryophyllales; Amaranthaceae. The transcript has 3 exons.